GAUCCUGGCUCAGGAUGAACGCUGGCGGCGUGCUUAACACAUGCAAGUCGAACGAAGCGCUUAAGAUUGAUUCUUCGGAUGAUUUCUUUUGUGACUUAGUGGCGGACGGGUGAGUAACGCGUGGGUAACCUGCCUCACACAGGGGGGAUAACAGUUAGAAAUGACUGCUAAUACCGCAUAACCCGAUAGGAUCGCAUGAUCCAGACGGAAAAGAUUUAUCGGUGUGAGAUGGACCCGCG
This 239-nucleotide ribosomal RNA is filed under the name uncultured bacterium. RNAcentral describes it as "partial 16S ribosomal RNA". It matches the Rfam family "Bacterial small subunit ribosomal RNA", at positions 15 to 235 of the family's 1533-position model. The record is from RNAcentral.